AAUGAACGCUGGCGGCGUGCCUAACACAUGCAAGUCGGAUGUGCCGCAAGGUGCAUGGCAGACGGGUGAGUAACGCGUGGGGAACCUACCUCUUCGUGGGGAAUAACGAUCCGAAAGGAUUGGUAAUACCGCAUGAGACCGACGGCUGGGAUGCUGUCGGUGAAAGCUGGGGACCGGAAACGGCCUGGCGCGAGGAGAGGGUCCUGCGUCUGAUUGGCUAGUUGGUGGGUAACGGCCUACCAAGGCAUCGAUCAGUAGCCGGCCUGAGAGGGUGAUCGGCCACACUGGAACUGAGACACGGUCCAGACUCCUACGGGAGGCAGCAGUGGGGAAUUUUGCGCAAUGGACGAAAGUCUGACGCAGCAACGCCGCGUGGGUGAUGAAGGUCUUCGGAUUGUAAAACCCUGUCGUCGGGGACGAAGGUAGGAGGGUUAAUAGCCUUUUGCUUGACGGUACCCGGAGAGGAAGCCCCGGCUAACUCUGUGCCAGCAGCCGCGGUAA
RNAcentral lists this ribosomal RNA (501 nucleotides) under uncultured bacterium. RNAcentral's name for it is "bacterial SSU rRNA". It matches the Rfam family "Bacterial small subunit ribosomal RNA", at positions 28 to 523 of the family's 1533-position model. The record is from RNAcentral.